This 688-nucleotide long non-coding RNA is filed under the name Homo sapiens (human). RNAcentral's name for it is "HSALNT0382846". Lineage: Eukaryota; Metazoa; Chordata; Mammalia; Primates; Hominidae. The record is from RNAcentral.
UCUCAUGCCCUUCUCACACCUGUCACAAUGGGCUUGGAAAGGUGUGUCUCUCAUCACUGCCUGACUGGUCUCUGCUUCCUGUUCUGGUCACUGUACCCACUUCCUCUCCAGGGACCAAUUCCUCCCUCAUGCUCCACCCAUGGUUGGGGGUGGCACUGGCCUCACACCCUGGCUUCGGGUGGCAAGUGUCCCAGGCCUGGCCAAUCAGAGUAUUCCACUCGUGACCCCUGGCCAUGCCAAUAGCUAAUGCAUGAGCUGGAAAGUAAAUCCUGUUGAGAAAAAGAAAACUUGGGACGGACUGCCAGGCAGAGGCAUGACAUGAGCCUCUUGCUGCCAACAGUCAUCAUGUGGAGAGGGUCUGCCAGAGAGAGAGGAAGAUAAAUGGAAAACAAACUGUGGAGUAAGCAAGCAAGAUAAAGAAAGAAAGCGGACGGCAUUAUUUGAGCCCCUGGAGCCAGCUGUACCUGACAUUUCAGUUACACACUGAACUGGGCACCACAUGGCAGGGCGUGAGUUCCAGUGGGAGGCCCCAUGCCAGUGUUCCCCUUCUGUUCCCACUCCCAGCUCAUUCUCACACCACAAGGAACCUGAUGCACUCCAGCCUACCUCUAGAGCAGCACUACAGAACUUUCUGCAGAGAUGGAAAUGUUCUAUCUGGGGGUGAUGGCUCACACCUACAAUCCCAGCA